CCUACGGGAGGCAGCAGUGGGGAAUAUUGGGCAAUGGGCGAAAGCCUGACCCAGCAACGCCGCGUGAGUGAAGAAGUAUCUCGGUAUGUAAAGCUCUAUCAGCAGGGAAGAAAAUGACGGUACCUGAAUAAGAAGCCCCGGCUAACUACGUGCCAGCAGCCGCGGUAAUACGUAGGGGGCAAGCGUUAUCCGGAUUUACUGGGUGUAAAGGGAGCGUAGACGGCGCUGCAAGUCCGGAGUGAAAGCCCAGGGCUUAACCAUGGUACUGCUCUGGAAACUGUGGAGCUUGAGUGCGGGAGGGGCAGGCGGAAUGCCUAGUGUAGCGGUGAAAUGCGUAGAUAUUAGGAGGAACACCGGCGGCGAAGGCGGCCUGCUGGACCGUAACUGACGUUGAGGCUCGAAAGCGUGGGGAGCAAACAGGAUUAGAUACCCUAGUAGUC
Molecule: ribosomal RNA, 440 nt
Filed under: uncultured bacterium
Lineage: Bacteria
Description: partial 16S ribosomal RNA
Rfam family: Bacterial small subunit ribosomal RNA
Source: RNAcentral